UCAGUCUAUUGGGGGCUGCUGAGUGAAGAGCCUGGUUGGGAGUGUGUGCAACCGUAGAAAGAGAAAGAAAAGAUCUUGCAAGAGUCUCAUAAAGAUCACGAAAGCAUAAAUGACAGUGCAGCAAAGGACAGCGUAGAGGACACUAGUGAAUCCGAAUCAUUUCCUCCAGCAGGGUGUGGUGUAGAUGUAGAAAGCUGUCAGACAGCAGUCCAAACACCGAAAUGGAGAUUGCCUUACAAAGGCGUGGCUGUGCAGGUGAAUGAUAGCACACCCAAAAAACUUUCAAAGAUGCAGCUGUGCAAACGGAUGAAAUUGGCUCACCUUGCACAAACUCAACAUCUCCAGAACGAGAUGACGAUCAGAAGCAGAACAAUCCUUAAAACCAGUUCAAGAUGAGAUGUUGAUACAAAGUGAGGAAGUUGAGGAAAAUGAAAACAAGCUGGACCCAUUAUCUGACCCUGACACCUACCAAUCUGAUUGUUCAGAAACUUCAGAAGCUGCUGAAGAAAUCUGUAACCCCCAAAUACAGCUGAGGAGAGAAAGUUUAUAGUUUUUGAAAGUCAGCUAUUACAAUUGUUUAUAAUUGCUUUUAUAAUUAUCGCUUGCUUCAGGAUCGUAUUGGUAAGGAUUUAUGGUUUUAAAUGAGGUUAAGCAAUUAAAAUCAUAACAAUUGCUACGUAUGGUGGAGUGGAAACAGCAUGGUACUUGUUUUGUAUCUGUUUGUUCGUUUGUUUUGCUUAAAAAAAGUGUUUUGUGUUUAAAUCUUUUUAUUUAUUAUAAACCGGCGCAACAGCACAUUUCACUCACCAAAACCGUCUGUCUAUUUCCUGGGCUGAUGUCACCACAUGAGGCAUUGUGUCACAGGGAUAUAUCGUUUGUGAUACAACUGUGCCCUUAUAUUUAUGAUGCAUAAAGAUUUACACAUUAAGUACACUGUAACUAUGCAUAAUAACAUUGAAAUUAUGUAAUAGUACACAUGUAUUUAAUAAGUAACUACUAUGUAAAUACACAGUCAUUAGACACUGUUAAUGUAAAGUGUUAUCUGAUCCUGAGGAAAACUUGAGAAAUGUAACCUAGGAGAAUGUUUGUAAACAUUCUUCAAAUCAAAUAUUUCGAAAAAAACAUUCCUUUAAACAGUCCUGAAAGUUUUGUGAAUAGGGCGCACGAUAGAUGCAUAAAGCAUAUAAAAGGGCAGCAGUGUGGAGUAGUGGUUAGAGCUCUGGACUCUUGACCGGAGGGUUGUGGGUUCAAUCCCCAGUGGGGGACACUGCUGUUGUACCCUUGAGCAAGGUACUUUACCUAGAUUGCUCCAGUAAAAACCCAACUGUAAAAAAUGGGUAAUUGUAUGUAAAAAUAAUGUGAUAUCUGUAUAAUGUGAAAUAAUGUAUAAUGUGAUAUCUUGUAACAAUUGUAAGUC
Molecule: long non-coding RNA, 1417 nt
Organism: Acipenser ruthenus (sterlet)
Lineage: Eukaryota; Metazoa; Chordata; Actinopteri; Acipenseriformes; Acipenseridae
Exons: 4
Source: RefSeq, a predicted model, not a curated record